AAGACCUUGCGCUUUUGGAGCGGCCGAUGCCUGAUUAGCUUGUUGGUAAGGUAAAAGCUUACCAAGGCUUCGAUCAGUAGCUGGUCUGAGAGGACGACCAGCCACACUGGGACUGAGACACGGCCCAGACUCCUACGGGAGGCAGCAGUGGGGAAUUUUGGACAAUGGGCGCAAGCCUGAUCCAGCCAUGCCGCGUGAGUGAAGAAGGCCUUCGGGUUGUAAAGCUCUUUCAGCCGGGAAGAAAAGGUUGCGAUUAAUAAUCGCGGUUUAUGACGGUACCGGAAGAAGAAGCACCGGCUAACUACGUGCCAGCAGCCGCGGUAAUACGUAGGGUGCGAGCGUUAAUCGGAAUUACUGGGCGUAAAGGGUGCGCAGGCGGUUUUGUAAGUCAGAUGUGAAAUCCCCGGGCUUAACCUGGGAACU
Molecule: ribosomal RNA, 423 nt
Filed under: uncultured bacterium
Lineage: Bacteria
Description: bacterial SSU rRNA
Rfam family: Bacterial small subunit ribosomal RNA
Source: RNAcentral